This 29-nucleotide small RNA is filed under the name Bombyx mori (domestic silkworm). Its description in RNAcentral is "ovarian small RNA-7869". Lineage: Eukaryota; Metazoa; Arthropoda; Insecta; Lepidoptera; Bombycidae. The record is from RNAcentral.
UGAAACUGUACCGUCAGAUAUGUUGUCUC